CUCGCGAUUGGCCGCAUCAGCCUCCAGUGCCCGCCCCCGGCCCGCUGGCCCUGCCCCCGCAGAGGGGAGCAAGUGCUCGCCCGCCUGCGGUGGGUUCGGCUGCGCGGCGGGGCUGAGGCGGCCGCGGUGGCCCUAACGCAGGGAGCGGACACUGGGUUUCUGAACCUCGUCGCUGAAGACGGCCAGGACUUAAGAAGCACAGCUCUCUGGACGACGGGGG
Molecule: long non-coding RNA, 220 nt
Filed under: Bos grunniens (domestic yak)
Lineage: Eukaryota; Metazoa; Chordata; Mammalia; Artiodactyla; Bovidae
Description: lncRNA (ENSBGRG00000001223.1)
Source: RNAcentral